This 311-nucleotide unclassified non-coding RNA is filed under the name uncultured Crepidotus. Its description in RNAcentral is "partial contains 5.8S ribosomal RNA, internal transcribed spacer 2, and large subunit ribosomal RNA". The stretch from base 1 to 52 matches the Rfam family "5.8S ribosomal RNA", at positions 103 to 154 of the family's 154-position model. Lineage: Eukaryota; Fungi; Basidiomycota; Agaricomycetes; Agaricales; Crepidotaceae. The record is from RNAcentral.
AACGCAUCUUGCGCUCCUUGGUAUUCCGAGGAGCAUGCCUGUUUGAGUGUCAUUAAAUUAUCAACCUUACCAGCUUUGUUGCUUGGUCUGGCUUGGAUGUGGGGGUUUUUGCAGGCUUUUCACAGUCAGCUCCCCUGAAAUGUAUUAGCGGUACCCUUGUGGUAAACGGCUAUUGGUGUGAUAACUAUCUACGCCAUUAGACGCCCACGUUAUAUAUGGGGGUCAUGCUGCUUCUAACAGUCCAUUGACUUGGACAGACUACAAAUGACAAUUUUGACCUCAAAUCAGGUAGGACUACCCGCUGAACUUAA